This 274-nucleotide ribosomal RNA is filed under the name uncultured bacterium. RNAcentral describes it as "partial 16S ribosomal RNA". It matches the Rfam family "Bacterial small subunit ribosomal RNA", at positions 523 to 796 of the family's 1533-position model. The record is from RNAcentral.
AUACGGAGGGUGCAAGCGUUACUCGGAAUCACUGGGCGUAAAGCGCGCGCAGGCGGCUUGAUAAGUUGGAUGUGAAAGCCUACGGCUCAACCGUAGAACUGCGUCCAAAACUGUCAAGCUAGAGUCUGGGAGGGGAAGAUGGAAUUAGUUGUGUAGGGGUAAAAUCCGUAGAGAUAACUAGGAAUACCAAAAGCGAAGGCAAUCUUCUGGAACACUACUGACGCUGAGGUGCGAAAGCUAGGGGAGCAAACGGGAUUAGAUACCCCAGUAGUCC